GAUGAACGCUAGCUACAGGCUUAACACAUGCAAGUCGAGGGGCAGCAUGUCGGUUGCUUGCAACCGGCGAUGGCGACCGGCGCACGGGUGAGUAACGCGUAUCCAACCUUCCCCUUAGUAGGGGAUAGCCCGGUGAAAAUCGGAUUAAUACCCUAUGUUGUUCGACGAGGACAUCUGAGUUGAACCAAAGAUUCAUCGCUAAGGGAUGGGGAUGCGUCUGAUUAGGUUGUUGGCGGGGUAACGGCCCACCAAGCCAUCGAUCAGUAGGGGUUCUGAGAGGAAGGUCCCCCACAUUGGAACUGAGACACGGUCCAAACUCC
RNAcentral lists this ribosomal RNA (320 nucleotides) under uncultured Prevotella sp. Its description in RNAcentral is "bacterial SSU rRNA". It matches the Rfam family "Bacterial small subunit ribosomal RNA", at positions 28 to 339 of the family's 1533-position model. The record is from RNAcentral. Lineage: Bacteria; Pseudomonadati; Bacteroidota; Bacteroidia; Bacteroidales; Prevotellaceae.